RNAcentral lists this unclassified non-coding RNA (286 nucleotides) under Hevea brasiliensis (rubber tree). Lineage: Eukaryota; Viridiplantae; Streptophyta; Magnoliopsida; Malpighiales; Euphorbiaceae. The record is from RNAcentral.
CCAACAUGAGACAAGCCUUAUUUCACAUCUUGAAGGAAGGCGACAUGAGGAUGCUUGCAAGAACUAUAAAGUCAAGAACCAAAUUAGAAAAUCUUUAUGGUGUGCCAUCUGUAAUAUAAGCUGCAGUAGUGAAGGAAACAUGCAAGCUCACCUUGAGGGGAACAUGCACUUGACUAGAACUCAAGAGCUCAUUAGCGUUGGAAGCAAGCCGGAAAAUUGAUUGAUGACACCAAAACAUGGGAACUAUGUAUUGUGCAGGAAGAGAUGGGCAAGAAUUUGUUGGAUC